GCCAUUGAGAAAGUGGGGCCUGAUGGGGUCUUAUCCAUUGAGUCAUCCUCUUCCUUUGAGACCACUGUUGAAGUUGAAGAGGGGAUGGCGAUUGACAGAGGCUAUAUUUCUCCUCAGUUUGUCACGAACCCUGAGAAAUUAAUUGCUGAAUUUGAGAAUGCACGAGUGUUGAUUACAGAUCAGAAAAUUUCAGCUAUAAAGGAUAUAAUCCCUAUAUUGGAAAAAACCACACAAUUGAGAGCUCCUUUGCUUAUCAUUGCAGAGGAUGUUACUGGUG
Molecule: unclassified non-coding RNA, 277 nt
Filed under: Hevea brasiliensis (rubber tree)
Lineage: Eukaryota; Viridiplantae; Streptophyta; Magnoliopsida; Malpighiales; Euphorbiaceae
Source: RNAcentral